This 253-nucleotide ribosomal RNA is filed under the name uncultured bacterium. RNAcentral describes it as "partial 16S ribosomal RNA". It matches the Rfam family "Bacterial small subunit ribosomal RNA", at positions 524 to 776 of the family's 1533-position model. The record is from RNAcentral.
UACGUAGGGUGCGAGCGUUGUCCGGAAUUACUGGGCGUAAAGCGUGCGUAGGGGUUUUGUUAAGUCUGUUGUGAAAGCCCCGGGCUCAACCUGGGAAUGGCAAUGGAUACUGGCAAGCUAGAGUGCGGUAGAGGGUAGUGGAAUUCCCGGUGUAGCGGUGAAAUGCGUAGAGAUCGGGAGGAACACCAGUGGCGAAGGCGGCUACCUGGACCAGCACUGACACUGAGGCACGAAAGCGUGGGGAGCAAACAGG